Molecule: ribosomal RNA, 301 nt
Filed under: uncultured bacterium
Lineage: Bacteria
Description: partial 16S ribosomal RNA
Rfam family: Bacterial small subunit ribosomal RNA
Source: RNAcentral
CAGCAGCCGCGGGAAUACGUAGGGUGCGAGCGUUAAUCGGAAUUACUGGGCGUAAAGCGUGCGCAGGCGGUUGUGUAAGACAGGUGUGAAAUCCCCGGGCUUAACCUGGGAACUGCGCUUGUGACUGCACAGCUAGAGUAUGGCAGAGGGGGGUGGAAUUCCACGUGUAGCAAUGAAAUGCGUAGAGAUGUGGAGGAACACCGAUGGCGAAGGCAGCCCCCUGGGCCAAUACUGACGCUCAUGCACGAAAGCGUGGGGAGCAAACAGGAUUAGAUACCCGUGUAGUCCCUGUCUCUUAUAC